CCCACGUUCGGACUGUAGUCUGCAACCCGACUACACGAAGCCGGAAUCGCUAGUAAUCGCGAAUCAGAAUGUCGCGGUGAAUACGUUCCCGGGUCUUGUACACACCGCCCGUCACACCAUGGGAGUCGGAAAUGCCCGAAGUCAGUGACCUAACCGAAAGGGAGGAGCUGCCGAAGGUGGAGCCGGUAACUGGGGUGAAGUCGUAACAAGGUAAC
This 215-nucleotide ribosomal RNA is filed under the name uncultured bacterium. RNAcentral's name for it is "partial 16S ribosomal RNA". It matches the Rfam family "Bacterial small subunit ribosomal RNA", at positions 1286 to 1500 of the family's 1533-position model. The record is from RNAcentral.